GCGUCCGUAGCUCAGGGGAUAGAGUAGCUGGCUACGAACCAGUUGGUCGGGGGUUCGAAUCCCUCCGGACGCA
Molecule: transfer RNA, 73 nt
Filed under: Caloramator mitchellensis
Lineage: Bacteria; Bacillati; Bacillota; Clostridia; Eubacteriales; Clostridiaceae
Rfam family: tRNA
About the family: Transfer RNA (tRNA) molecules are approximately 80 nucleotides in length.
Source: Rfam by way of RNAcentral